CGAGUGGCAAACGGGUGAGUAACGCGUAAGGAACUUACCUUUUGGACGGGGACAACCACGAGAAAUCGUGGCUAAUACCGGAUAAGAUCUUUUUUUCACAUGGGAGAAAGAUGAAACCAGUUUACUGGCCAAAAGAUAGCCUUGCGUCUGAUUAGUUUGUUGGUAAGGUAAUGGCUUACCAAGACUAUGAUCAGUAGCUGGUCUGAGAGGAUGAUCAGCCACAUUGGGACUGCGACACGGCCCAGACUCC
Molecule: ribosomal RNA, 250 nt
Filed under: uncultured bacterium
Lineage: Bacteria
Description: partial 16S ribosomal RNA
Rfam family: Bacterial small subunit ribosomal RNA
Source: RNAcentral